UACACUCCUGCGGGAGGCAGCAGUGGGGAAUAUUGGACAAUGGGCGCAAGCCUGAUCCAGCCAUGCCGCGUGAGUGAUGAAGGCCCUAGGGUUGUAAAGCUCUUUCACCGGUGAAGAUAAUGACGGUAACCGGAGAAGAAGCCCCGGCUAACUUCGUGCCAGCAGCCGCGGUAAUACGAAGGGGGCUAGCGUUGUUCGGAUUUACUGGGCGUAAAGCGCACGUAGGCGGACUAUUAAGUCAGGGGUGAAAUCCCGGGGCUCAACCCCGGAACUGCCUUUGAUACUGGUAGUCUUGAGUUCGAGAGAUGUGAGUGGAAUUCCGAGUGUAGAGGUGAAAUUCGUAGAUAUUCGGAGGAACACCAGUGGCGAAGGCGGCUCACUGGCUCGAUACUGACGCUGAGGUGCGAAAGCGUGGGGAGCAAACAGGAUUAGAAACCCCAGUAGUCCCA
Molecule: ribosomal RNA, 449 nt
Filed under: uncultured organism
Description: partial 16S ribosomal RNA
Rfam family: Bacterial small subunit ribosomal RNA
Source: RNAcentral